AACAAGUUUGUUUGUUUAUGUUUAUCGAUGUGUGCUUCUGGGGUUUCAGUCGAUUAACGGACGAAUGUUUAUCGUUACUAUAUAAAAUUGCUACAAAUAGUUUGGAUAUUGACAACUAAUAAACCAAGAAGCACUCGAAAUGGUAAGAGCUUGCUUUGUGGAAGGAUGCAACUCACGGACAGGAUCACCCGAAAUCUCGCUCCAUAGUUUUCCCAAGGAUCAACAUAUGAUUCAGAAAUGGCUGAAAGCAGUUGGGCGCAAAGCUACGAAUCGAAAACGGUUGAUAUGUUCGAAACAUUUCCCUCUGUCAGCCUAUAAAAAUACAAAGGAUUUUUCAAGAGGCUUGAAAGCAUUUGCCGUUCCAGUGUUUUCUGCAGGAAACGAAGUACCAAAUGAAGCUGAACUCACGUUUGUGAAUUUCAAUCGGUA
Molecule: long non-coding RNA, 429 nt
Organism: Malaya genurostris
Lineage: Eukaryota; Metazoa; Arthropoda; Insecta; Diptera; Culicidae
Exons: 3
Source: RefSeq, a predicted model, not a curated record